RNAcentral lists this unclassified non-coding RNA (399 nucleotides) under soil metagenome. Its description in RNAcentral is "partial contains 5.8S ribosomal RNA, internal transcribed spacer 2, and large subunit ribosomal RNA". The stretch from base 1 to 122 matches the Rfam family "5.8S ribosomal RNA", at positions 35 to 154 of the family's 154-position model. The record is from RNAcentral.
GAUGAAGAACGUAGCGAAAUGCGAUACUUGGUGUGAAUUGCAGAAUCCCGUGAACCAUCGAGUCUUUGAACGCAAGUUGCGCCUCAAGCCAUUAGGUUGAGGGCACGUCUGCCUGGGCGUCACAUAUCGUUGCCUGAUGCCAGUUUCCUCGUGAUGGGUGACUGUGCAGGGCGAAUGAUGGCUUCCCGUGAGCAUUGUUGCCUCAUGGUUGGUUGAAAAUUGAGUCCUUGGUAGGGAGCGCCGUGAUAGAUGGUGGUUGAGUGACGAACGAGACCCAAUCAUGUGAGACCCCUACCGAAUUUGGCCUUCAUGACCCACAUGCGUCUUUGGAACGCUCAUGACGAGACCUCAGGUCAGGCGGGGCUACCCGCUGAGUUAAGCAUAUCAAUAAGCGGAGGA